Molecule: non-coding RNA, 94 nt
Organism: Acanthosepion pharaonis
Lineage: Eukaryota; Metazoa; Mollusca; Cephalopoda; Sepiida; Sepiidae
Source: the annotation of a GenBank genome assembly
ACUUCCUGUUCCUAUGCAAUCACCAAAGUUAAACAACACCGAGCCCAGUCAGUACCUAGAUGGGUGACCAUUUGGGAAUACCAGGUGCUGUAAG